UACGUAGGGGCCUAGCGUUGUCCGGAUUUAUUGGGCGUAAAGAGCUCGUAGGCGGUUCGGCAAGUCGGAUGUGAAAUCCCCAGGCUUAACCUGGGAACUGCAUCCGAUACUGGAUGGCUUGAAUCCGGGAGAGGGAUGCGGAAUUCCAGGUGUAGCGGUGAAAUGCGUAGAUAUCUGGAGGAACACCGGUGGCGAAGGCGGCAUCCUGGACCGGCAUUGACGCUGAGGAGCGAAAGCCAGGGGAGCAAACGGG
RNAcentral lists this ribosomal RNA (253 nucleotides) under uncultured bacterium. Its description in RNAcentral is "partial 16S ribosomal RNA". It matches the Rfam family "Bacterial small subunit ribosomal RNA", at positions 524 to 776 of the family's 1533-position model. The record is from RNAcentral.